RNAcentral lists this long non-coding RNA (1368 nucleotides) under Oryctolagus cuniculus (rabbit). Its description in RNAcentral is "lncRNA (ENSOCUG00000031312.1)". Lineage: Eukaryota; Metazoa; Chordata; Mammalia; Lagomorpha; Leporidae. The record is from RNAcentral.
AGCUGCCGAGUGUUCCAGCCAAGGACUCCAUGUGACCUUCCUCUGAGCCUGGGGGAGGGUGCCGAGGGGAGGGGAGGGGGCAGGAGAGAGAGGAGGCGCAGGGAGGGGGCCUCCAGGAUCUGUCCCCAGCGCAGGUUCUCAGCUGAGCCAGGCAGACCGCAGGAAACUUAAGACCCGUGACACACGAUGACGCGGAACGAUCCCGCCGUGAUAUGGGAAGCGAGGCCCCCAAAUUCAAUCUCGUGAAAGAAGAGCUUGCGUUUUUGGAGGGUAAGGGAAGGGAGCAGGAUGAGCCCGGGGAACGGGCUUAGGAAAGGCCCUGGGAGCCAGCCGGCUGGGCCAAGAACACCCCCCAGCCCCGCCCAGGGCUGACUGUUGACCAGGUGCACUGUGCUGCGUGUCACUGUCCUGUCCUGGCUUCUCCUGCAGGCUGAGAAGUUCAAGUUCAAGAUCAUCUUUUAUGACCCAGAAGGCAGAAGCAGGCGUCUGAGUCCAGCUCUGCUCGGCUGUAUCGCUGUUAAUCUUCCCAGUAGAAACCCUCGCAGGAAAGAGCGACCGGUGGGAACCGCUGACGUCAGCAGAAAGGAGAAAGUGAACACGCGUGGUAGGAACCUCAGAACACGUGCCCUGCUUUGGGUUCCUGGCCGACGGCAGCUUAUGGGCCCGGAAAACUCCCAGGCCUUCUAAGGGGUGGAGGCUAGACCAGUGGGUAGAGACAGGAGUAUUAUCUGAUGCAUUACGUUGUCUAUUGUAACCUGUACGGAGGUUGUUCCAGCCUCCGUACCUUUAUCUCUUUUUAAAGAUUCAUUUGUUGGAUCAGACACUGUGGUGUGGUGAGUAAAGCCGCCACCUACAAUGCUGGCAUCCCCUGUGGGUGCUGCUUGGAGUCCUGGCUGCUCCACUUCCAAUCCAACUCCCUGCUGAUGGUCUGGGAAAGCAGUGGGAGAUGGCCCGAGUGCCUGGGCCCCUGCACCCAUGUGGGAGACCCAGAUGAAAUGCCUGGCACCUGACUCCCGGUUUUGGUCUGGCUCAGCCUUGGCCGUUGUGGCUACUUGGGGAGUGAACCAGAGGAUGAAGUCUCUCUCUCUCUCUCUCUCUCUCUCUUUCCUUCCUUCUAUAUAACUCUGCCUUUCAAAUGAAGAGAUCUUAUUUAUUUGAAAGACAGAGCAACAAAGACAAAGAUCUUCCAUCUGCUGGCUCACUGACCAAAUAGUUGCAACACUUGCUGCUUGGCCAGGCCAAAACUAGGAGCCCAGAACUCCAUCCGGGUCUCCCACCUGAGUGACUGGAGCCCAGGGACCUGGGCCAUCUUCCACGGUUUCCCCAGAUGCAUCAGCUGGGAGCUGGACCAGAAGCAGAGCAGCUGGG